Molecule: long non-coding RNA, 20590 nt
Filed under: Selaginella moellendorffii
Lineage: Eukaryota; Viridiplantae; Streptophyta; Lycopodiopsida; Selaginellales; Selaginellaceae
Description: long non-coding RNA (SMOE_LNC001132)
Source: RNAcentral
GAUGCCUCACGAAUCCAUCCGGGGCGUGCUCUGCUCCUCCAAAGCGAAGCCGCAUCACCUCAUCCCCUCGGCAAGGCUUCACGUCCGAGCGGAUGAAGGCAAAGCUGCGAGUGCUCGAGACGCUCAUUCUCUUACACAGUGGUGGUCAGAUGGAGCAGUCGUUCAGGUGCAAUUUGUCAACUUGACAGGUCAAGAACACUUGGAUCAUCCGCUGCAAAUCCCGUUUGGGGGGAUAAGCUACGAAGCUAUGGUGUAGUACGCGGCUACAUAUUUUCUCUGUGCUCAAAGAACCCGAGAAAAAAGUUUUUUUAUUUUUUCCUGUGCUAGACCAAGGUUUGAAGAGAACGCGGCGUGUUUUCGACGUUCAAUCUUACUGGAAGAACGUCACAGGUGGAUGUUUACCACGUCAUGACUUUAUAAUGAACACUUUCAUUGUCUUGCUCGAGCCAAAGCCUUCAAAGUAAGUUUGCUCGCGUUUGUUUUUGUUAGAUGGUUAAAGAGAGAACGAGGCCGGAUAAUGAGGGUUGGCGGUUUCAACUAGAGAAGCACAAGCCAGUGAGCUUCCCGAAAAUGAGAUUUUUUAAUCGAUGAAGCGUCACUCUGCUUCCAUGCUAUGAGAAGGGUUUGCUCGAGGACAUGGAAGGUAAUCUUGUUCCAUUAUCAGUUCCUUUUGGGGCAUCCCUUUUGCAGUACUAUAAGGUGCUUCUCGCCACUCUUCUAGGCAUUGCCCUUGUGAUGAAGAAAAGGAGCAAAGAAGCGCCUGUGUUGCUGCAAGACGACAUUGAGACGGUUCUCAGCUAUGUGGACCUGGCCACACUAGCGACCUCAUGCUCCGCCGUUUGCAAGUCAUGGAACGCCAUCAUCGGCGAUCCAUCCUUUCGCCGCCGCUGGUGCCAAAACAGUGGCCACAAGGAAUCCUUGCGGCUUAUGACUAGCUCCUUCGACUACGGCGAGCGUUGCCACGCCUGGGAUCCAUCACGGCCCCAACGCAGCGUGGAGUUUCCGUUGCCCCACAAAACGGAAGAACUUCCUAACGCUCAAGUGGUUGCUUCCGCGGGUGGCCUGGUAUGCGUCUUCAGGACGCACAGGGGCAUGGUUGAUCCUGCUGAUGAUGUGUUUCACCUGGUGGUGGGGAAUCCAGUGACCCAAGAGUGGAGCGAACUACCACCGCUCCAUUGGGAGGACAGAGAAAGAUGCACUUUAGCGGGAGUGAUCGACUUUGCCAUGUUCGUCGACAAGAAUGGCUUCAAAGUCGGUCUGCACUACACCGCUGUCGACUUCUCAGGCCACUGGUGCUGCAUCUACGACUCGGCAACGCGCUCCUGGUCUUCUCUCCCCAAGCUCCCGUUCUCGCCAGCCUACGUCAAAAUGAAGGCGCAGCGGCUUUCAGAUUACAGCGUGGACGUGCCACCCCCUGCUGUAUUCCCAGGCUUGGACGAUUACUUCUACGAUCUCACCAUCCUGGGAUUUUACGACUUUGGCCGCGGCAGGUGGAGCACCGGGGAAGUCGUGCGCAGCCUGAGGAUUACAACAGGCCUGGAAGACAAGGUUGACCCGGAUGGAGAGAUCCUGCGCUGCGUCUUGCCGCUCCCGGGACUGUGCACCGCGAGGCUGUGGGAGUACAAUGGCCAGCGAUACUUGGCAAGUGGCUGGGUGUAUGCGGGAGGCUACCGCGAGGCAGGGGAGUCCGGAGUUGAUGGCUAUGGCGUGUGGAAGGUUGACGACAAGGGUGGCUUGGUUGCCGUCUCUGCAAAGACCCAUAAAUCGAUCCUUCGUCAAGUGUACGCUGGGCAGCGCUUUUUCGGAGCGGUUUUCCGUUGUUCUGUUCAUGCAGAGGCCAAUCUGGUGAUCUUUUCAGAGAUAGGGAUCAUGUUUGUUUACGACUUGAGCACAGGGGAUUGGGGCGGAGUAGGGGGGCACGUAGAUGAAUAUUCACAAGCAGUGAUUUUUCGCCCGUCCCUCAGGGCACCUAGAUGAUCCAGAAAGGAGGAUGAACGCCACACAAACAGGUAUUGUUAAUCCCAAGAAGGAAGUAGAGUACAUAAAUUGCAAGAUAUAUUACAUUAUUGAGAUUAUUGUAAUAGUAGCUUAGUAUAAUAAAAUGUAUUGAGAAGCAAAGAUUAAUUAUAGAGUGGAUAAAUAUUUGCUUGUUUUUUGCAUUUUAUGAGUUGAAUAUAUUUUUAUUCAAAGAGUUUUAAAGAUGGCACUAAUUAAUAUUUACUAAGAAGUUUUUAGUUUAUAACAAUAAGAGAAAUUGUUGAACUUUGUGAAUUUUAUCAAUUGAUGCUAUUAAAUAAAGGGAAAUAUUGUUUUUUCACUAUGCAUUUUUUUGAAUUUUUUUUGUAAUGUUGAGUCAACCAAUAAGUGUAUGACAUACAUUAGGUUAGGGAAGAAGGUAGAUAUAAUAUUUAAUUUUUUGCUUAUUUAAAUAAAUUUUGUGAGAGUAAAAUUUUCUUUACUAUAAGAUGCUCCUUUCCUUAAUUUUCUUUUUAGGGUAAUAAGUCCAUUUCUCACAUCUUUAUUUAAAUCUUUGUAAGUUUUCUAAUUUCUUAUUUUUUACUACAAAAAUAUUAAAUCUAUAAAUAUUCUUCAAUCCUAAUAUAAAUCAUACUAUAUUUUGAAGAUUUCAAAGGCGAAAGGGGAUUGUAGGGAUUAGCUUCUUUUAAAACAUAUUAAAGAAAUAUUAAGCCAACUUCAAGAAUAAAUAAAAAUUUAAUCUCAAAGAAGAAAGUUAACACACUUUAUCCUAUUAUUUUUUUUCAGAUAAGGGAAAAUGUGAAUUUUUUUUUAAAGAGAAUCAUUCCUUUGGUAAAAAAAUACAUAAGUCCAAGAAAAAGAAGCUAGCAUAGUAGCAUCUUAGGAAACUAAAAAAAAAAGUAUAAUAUAAAAUAGUUUAAAGAUUUCUAAAUUUAAUUCAAAUUUACACUUUCAUUUUAUAAUCACUUUUUAACAUCCUUAUGAUGCCUCAAGAUAUGGGGGAAUAUAAUUUCUCCUUCUUUAAUCCCUAUUAAGUUCUUUUUUGUUCACAACAAUAUUUGCCAAUUCUGUUAUUAGAACAAGUUCCAAGAGUUAAUAAGAUUUAAUGAAUAAGUUUUUGAGCCUUCCUCACCACAUAACUAUACCUUUAGUUAUUAAGCAAAAGGACCAUUCAUUUUUUAUUAAAUUCCCCAAUCAUGUAUUUAAAGUAAAGUUCUGAUGAGUUAUACAAAAUAUUCAAAUAGUGCUACCCACACUUGGAUUAAGAGCAUUGACCAUUCAAUCUCCUAAAAAAGAUAGAGCUAAAUAUUAUACAUUUCAACAAAUCAUUCAAUUUAUCCAUUCAUGUUUAUUUUAACCUUGGACUCCUUAAUAUUUACAUCAUCACCCACCAUAUGAAAAUAACAUUUUUUGGUCAUAUUGAUUCUUUAGAAUCCUCCUCUUAUUAUCCCAUAGAAACUUAUUAAACCCCUUAAUGUUUAGGAAAAAAUUGCUUUAGGCUUUCACCCCACCUUCAAAUAUGUUUGUCUCUAGAUAUAUCAAGCCUUGGACUUGGUCUUGGACAUGGUCUCAAACUUGGUCUAAGACUUGAUCCUAGACUUAAUUUUAAACUUGAUCUUAGAGUUGUUUCAGAUUGGGUUUCGAACUCAGUCUUGGACUUUAUCUCAACAUUUCUAUAUAUUACAAUAAUUGUCACAUGUUAGUCAUUCUCUUGUCUCUUUUUUAAAAACUCAUUUAUUAAUCAUUUUAUACUCAUUCCUCAAACAUUUUUUUAGGAGUUUAUUUCCACUCUCAACUUUUUAAGUCAAAGCUUUUGGUCCAAAUAUGUUAUGUUCAUUGAACUUUUGCCUCAAUCACUACCUCACAUUCAACUUUACUUUGGGGCUUAAAGAUUUGUGUUUUAUAAGUGUUUCAUAACUAAUCCAGUUUGAUAUAUUUGACAUAUAACUUAUAUAUGGCAUGGCUAUCAGGAAGAAGGCAGUAAUCAUAGUGUAAUAUUGAGGCUUAGGGGAAAAACAUUUUUGAGAGCUAAAAACACCUAAGUAAGAUUUUAGAGCUAAAAUUCUAUCACAAUAUUUAAUUUUGUGUUUUCAAUUGCUAUAUAGGAUAAAGAGAAAUUAGUGCCAUAAGGUUGGGGUGUUUACCAUGUAGGAGUGAGGCAUAAAAUUUAUGGAGGUUUAAAUAAAGGCACUUCUCACCUAAGUCUUUAAUUCAAACCCCAUAUCUAUAUGAUAAAUGGAAAAUUAUGAAGUAAAUUUUUAUGUAGAUUUUAUGACAUUUUAGGCUAUAAUAGAUUUGAUUGUCACCACAUUUUUUAAUUGCAAAUUUAGCCAUUUGGAGAAAAAGAAACUCAUCCUAUUGUUCUAUUUCAUUAGUAUUCUUAAGUUUAGAAAAGAACUUAAUAAAACUAUACAAAUAUGUAAUUUGUUGAGUUCAACUAUCUAUUAAGUUGCAUUUUAUUAUAGGGUUAAAAUAUCAAAGGUUAUUUUAAUGACAAACUGAAUGAAUGUGUGGUGCUCAUAUCAAAUUUCACUGCUACUGCAUCCAAGAAAGAAAGUAAAGUGGUUAAUACUGAUGAAAAACUUUUUUCAAAUUUGAAAGGGUAAGAUAUAAGCUUUAUAUAUAAAGAAUGCUGAAAGUUAUUGUGAGUAUGGGAUGGGUUUGGGUAUUUGGGAGCUAGGAUUAUAUAUAUCUGGGAACCAAUGGGGGAGCCAGUGGCAAUGUUGUAGCAUGUUUCCUUGAUAAAUUUAGUUACUUAUCUUUUUAGUUUAACAAGAGACAAGACAUUAGUAUCCAGUUUAACUCUAGUUCAAAAAGCAAUUUGCUCUUUACUGUGUAUGUUACUAAGUUUUCGCCUCAUUAAAUAGCUUAAACCUUUAUUUAUCAUUAUGACGCACUAUUUUAAAAAAGUGGUUUAACAGCUAGCAUAAAUUUAAAUAGCUAUAAAUAUAACAAAACAAGCAUUUGAGGAAUAAGAACCACCCUUGCAAGUUCUGUUGAAAAUUUGGCUGAAGUGUCGGCGGUGUCCAUGAUGCGAGAGAACGCGUUCAAGCCCUAGCCAGCGUUCCAUGCGGGGGCCGAUCGCCAAUGCCAGAGGACGAUGCCUAUCGAUUCGAGGUCACGGGGCCAAAGCGCAAGCACUUCAACUGGUAAAGAAUCUCGCCGCCCUAGCUGCACUGCUCUGUUUGAAGCGAUUCUUGGCGGGCUGGGUGUGUGAUUUUGGCAGUAGAAUCCCGUUUCGAUUGAUUCCAAUCACCCCCGAGAGAAUUCUCAGCUACCCUAGGCUUGUCUUUGAUCAUAGCCUUUCAUUUGUCCCAUUUUGGUGUCUCUUUCGUUCACUUGCGUGCUAAGUGCUGAUUGAUAAGUAGUUCGAUGGCUAGUCUUUAGUGGAUUGGUCCUCACUUCUCCAUUCUUUUUUUUUGUUGUUUCGCAAAGCUUGCUUGGGCUUGAGUUCAUUGUCUACUUUUUUGUUUCAUUGCUGCUAAAGACUUGGUCCGGUUAGAGUUCUCGUCCUUUAAAAGCUUUUUAUCUCGAUUCCUCGCGAGUUCUUACCAUACAUUCUUUCCAGGGAUGUUCCGGACGACAAAAGAGCAAUCUUGGCAUGCCUUGUGUCAAGCGUGUACUCACUCCAGCACGACAGAUCGAAAAACUACACAGGAACUCCGCAAGCUCUCGCUCCUCCCUGGUGGACGUCCUUCAACUACGAGCUCCUCGACGUGAUCCUCGGCAAUGACAAGCUCCGGAUCAACGGCGCAGUGUUCGUGUGGAACUACAAAAACCACUGGAAGCCUGCCCGAGCUCCGAUGGUGGUCCUGGCGCUCAGAGGCACGGACAGCCUAACCAGCAACUACAUCGUCGACUUCAAGAUCGCCAACCAGGAGCUUUACAAGACAGGCAGGUUCACAGCCGCGUACAACGCUCUCCGAAACGCCGUCGCAUGGCAUGGCAAGGACAACGUUUGCAUCACGGGGCACUCGCUCGGAGCAGCGGUGGCGCUCUCCGCCGCUCGGAUGAUGGCAUCGCAGGGCCAGUUCGUCGAGGCUCAUCUCUUCAAUCCUCCAUUCUCGUCCUCGACCGCUCCAUACAAGUCACUCUUCGGUGCUGAGACUUACAGCAAUCUCCAAGAGGUUUACACCGUUGCAAAGGCCGGGCUCGUCAACUUGCUGGUGGAUGCCGCAAAGAGAAGGGAGUCCGAGGCAGAGUUUGCGGCACUUGGAAGCUGGUACCCGGACAUGUAUGUUCAUCCCAGUGAUCCGGUAUGCUCGGGCUUUCUCGAGCACUUCAAGAACUAUCAGUAUAUGCUACAGGGGAAGUACGCGAGAUUGGCGAUGCCUCACGAAUCCAUCCGGGGCGUGCUCUGCUCCUCCAAAGCGAAGCCGCAUCACCUCAUCCCCUCGGCAAGGCUUCACGUCCCAGCGGAUGACGGCAAAGCUGCGAGUGCUCGAGACGCUCAUUCUCUUACACAGUGGUGGUCGGAUGGAGCAGUCGUUCAGGUGCAAUUUGUCAACUUGACAGGUCAAGAACACUUGGAUCAUCCGCUGCAAAUCCCGUUUGGGGGGAUAAGCGACGAAGCUAUGGUGUAGUACGUACAUAUUUUCUCUGUGCUCAAAGAACCCGAGAAAAAAGUUUUUAUUUUUUCCUGUGCUAGACCAAGGUUUGAAGAGAUCGCGGCGUGUUUUCGACGUUCAAUCUUACUGGAAGAACGUCACAGGUGGAUGUUUACCACGUCAUGACUUUACAAUGAACACUUUCAUUGUCUGCUCGAGCCAAAGCCUUCAAAGUAAGUUUGCUCGCGUUUGUUUUUGUUAGAUGGUUAAAGAGAGAACGAGGCCGGAUAAUGAGGGUUGGCGGUUUCAACUGGAGAAGCACAAACCAGUGAGGACAGAUAAUGGGGAAUAACUUCAGAAAGAAGAAGCUGAGCUUCCCGAAAAUGAGAUUUUUUAAUCGAUCAAGCGUUCACUCUGCUUCCGCGAAAGUUAGGUUUUUUAUGGAGCUCCUUGCAUCCCUUUUGCAGUACUAUAAGGUCACUCUUCUAGGUAUUGCCCUUGUGAUGAAGAAACGGAGAAAUGAAGCGCCUGUGUUGCUGCAAGACGACGUUUUGGAGACGGUUCUCAGCUAUGUGGACCUGGCCACACUAGCGACCUCAUGUUCCGCCGUUUGCAAGUCAUGGAACGCCAUCAUCGGCGAUCCAUCCUUUCGCCGCCGCUGGUGCCAAAACAGUGGCCACAAGGAAUCCUUGCGGCUUAUGACUAGCUCCUUCGACUACGGCGAGCGUUGCCACGCCUGGGAUCCAUCACGGCCCCAACGCAGCGUGGAGUUUCCGUUGCCCCACAAAACGGAAGAAUUUCCUAACGCUCAAGUGGUUGCUUCCGCGGGUGGCCUGGUAUGCGUCUUCAGGACGCACAGGGGCAUGGUUGAUCCUGCUGAUGAUGUGUUUCACCUGGUGGUGGGGAAUCCAGUGACCCAAGAGUGGAGCGAACUACCACCGCUCCAUUGGGAGGACAGAGAAAGAUGCACUUUAGCGGGAGUGAUCGACUUUGCCAUGUUCGUCGACAAGAAUGGCUUCAAAGUCGGUCUGCACUACACCGCUGUCGACUUCUCAGGCCACUGGUGCUGCAUCUACGACUCGGCAACGCGCUCCUGGUCUUCUCUCCCCAAGCUCCCGUUCUCGCCAGCCUACGUCAAAAUGAAGGCGCAGCGGCUUUCAGAUUACAGCGUGGACAUGGCACCCCCUGCUGUAUUCCCAGGCUUGGACGAUUACUUCUACGAUCUCACCAUCCUGGGAUUUUACGACUUUGGCCGCGGCAGGUGGAGCACCGGGGAACUCGUGCGCAGCCUGAGGAUUACAACAGGCCUGGAAGACAAGGUUGACCCGGAUGGAGAGAUCCUGCGCUGCGUCUUGCCGCUCCCGGGACUGUGCACCGCGAGGCUGUGGGAGUACAAUGGCCAGCGAUACUUGGCAAGUGGCUGGGUGUAUGCGGGAGGCUACCGCGAGGCAGGGGAGUCCGGAGUUGAUGGCUAUGGCGUGUGGAAGGUUGACGACAAGGGUGGCUUGGUUGCCGUCUCUGCAAAGACCCAUAUAUCGAUCCUUCGUCAAGUGUACGCUGGGCAGCGCUCUGUGGGAGCGGUUUUCCGUUGUUCUGUUCAUGCAGAGGCCAAUCUGGUGAUCUUUUCAGAGAUAGGGCUCAUGUUUGUUUACGACUUGAGCACAGGGGAUUGGGGCGGAGUAGGGGGGCACGUAGAUGAAUAUUCACAAGCAGUGAUUUUUCGCCCGUCCCUCAGGGCACCUAGAUGAUCCAGAAAGGAGGAUGAACGCCACACAAACAGGUAUUGUUAAUCCUGAGCUAGUCUGUAAGUUAACGAGACUUCCUGGGCUGGCAGGAACACACACACCUGUUUGGAGCAUUGGCGAAGUCUGUCUAUUAUUCAAGAAUUAUACACAUUAUGUACAUAUAAGAUUUUGAGAUUCUAUGUACAUAGAAGAUUUUGCCUCCCAGAGGAUUGCUACUCAACAGUACGGUAGACAUAUUCAUGAUGGGGAUGAAAGUCUACUCUUCAAAUCAAUCAAUGCCUCGUGAUCCGCUGGUACGCUGCACCAUUCCUGGGCCAUAUUCGUAGGUCGGAUUCGAGACCUCCGCGCCGAAGAUCUCACGCUGCUGCGGCCGUGGUCUCCUUGUUCCACUUUAGAAUUUGUGACCUUAGCAGGCAAAGCUCAUGAACAUGCUCUCCAUCCGCGAUCGCAGUCUUUGCGCUCCCUCGCCGCGGCCUUUGGAAGCCGCCGAUAAGACUGCGCCACUUUCUGGCGGCUCCUGGUAGAAAAAGAAAAAGAAAAAAAACAAAACAAAACCAAAGAACCUUUUUGCUUUCCCGUCAAGGCGAAUUUCUGGAAUUCGUCUUCGCUGCUCAAGACGAUUGUCGCUCAAUCCGGCAGCUCUUUAAACAUCUACGACCACAAAACAAACGCGUGACCACCGUAGCAAAACAUUUCACAUACUUACUUUCAUAAAUCGUGAUCAUUCGAGCAUAUCACGACAACAAAAACUAUGAGGCGACAUCCAAAGUGAAAACCAUUUCUUCAGAACAUCGAAAACAAGAACUUACAUGAAUAACUUUGCGCCAUUGUUUCAACCUCUUUCUCCUCCAACCAAGAACACGAAGGAAAAAAAAAAACCUCUCCCCCAGAUAGACGCAGAGAAAGAAAGCCCAAGCGCAGGCAGCAAGAAAGAAGAGAGACUUACCCGUGUAGCGUUUUGGAGCAUUCCCUGGGAUCCAAUGGAGGCGGCCGAGCAAAUGGGUCGGCGCUAAACCUUGCGAGGCGCGGCGGCGAGCACAGCCCAGUUCCCCAAUCGCUGGAAUCGGCGAGAGCGGCGGCCCCAAAAGCCUCCAAAUCUUUGCUUGCCACCUUUUGCUAGACGAAACGAGCGAGGGGACUAGCGCACCACCCUCGACGCCAUGGAUGGUGGUGGUGGUGGACGCUUAAACUCACGCACACGCACACGGGGGCACACCACUUAAUAGAAAGAAAGAGAAAGAAAGAAGAAACCCAACCCAACUCUCUCCUCUCUCUUUGAGUUGAUGGCCUAACUCUCUAAGUAAGAGUGCGAUGCACGACUUUCACCUCUAACACGAAAAAGAAAGGGCAAACAAUGGGAGAGAGAGAGCCCAAAAGGUAAGAAAAAAAAAAAGAUUGAGAAGAAAAAACGGCAAAAAGAAGAACAAUGAGGGUUAAAAUGUAUAAACCGACUUGGGUGGUGGAAAUUAUUUCCCCCCAGCGGUCCAAUCCAUGGUGGCUUAAGGUGAGAUUAAAGGCUAAUCACAAUUAGCCGCGGGCCAACGACUGCUAUGUGCCACCGCCACCCUUCGGGAAAACAAAUAGGAUUUGUGUUAACCGAGGUGGAGUUUAUUACCAUUAGCGGGUGAUUAGCGCCGCAGGCGUCAGAUUGCUUUGCAGCAACGGUGAGGAUUGGAGGGCGCCAGCGCUUUACAUGUCUACGUGUACACUGCAUGGACCAGGAAGCAAAAAGCAAAAAAUAAUGCUUGCCUCUCUUUUAUAUGUUUCAAGCCUUGUUGUGUUUUUUUAGGGGCCACCACCUUUGGGUUUGUAAUGAGGGAAAAUUUUGACCAAGGACGUGGAGUUUGUGGGUCGGCCUGCUGCCGCUGCCUCGUCUAGCAAUAAAGUGGAGAAAGGGGGUGCAAUCGCCACCGUUACUUUUAGCGCUUACCUGUCCCAUUAUGUUGGAUUUUGAUUUUGGUCAAUGAUUAGGUACUUUAAGAUCUUUAACCAUAUUUAUGUACUAAAUUGUUUCUGAAGAAAUUUCAAAUGACACUAAUCAUCAAGUAGACUUUAAAACUAAAUUCUACCGCCAAAACAAACAUGCCAAAAAUUAAAUAUGAAGAAUUAAAGUUCUAGUGUUCUAAAGUUCCCUACUCCGAAGUGUGUGAAUGAUGUGCAGCGCUUCUUGGGUAAGGUGUAGUAUCUCGGUCGUUUUGUGGAUCAUCUUUCCGAUCGCACUACACCAUUGCGAGCGUUGCUGAAGUCAUCAACGUCAUCUUUCAUCUGGUCUCCGGAUUGUGAGCGGGCGUUCGUGGAUCUCAAGGAGCUAUUGACGACUCAUCCGGUUUUGGCAUAUCCUGACUACACUCGACCUUUUAUUUUGCGCAUAGAUGCUUCUGACAUUGGUCUUGGAGGUGUUUUGAUGCAAGAGAGCUCGAGUGUGCCUGGUCAGCGCCACCCCAUUGCCUACAUAAGCCGUACAUUACAACUAGCGGAGAUGAACUACUCCACGACGGAGAAGGAGUGUUUAGCAGCAGUCUGGGGUUUCGAGAAACUUCAUGCAUAUCUACAUGGUUCUCGGAUGUUACUUGAAGGUGACCAUGCUGUUGUUACUUCAUUAUUGAAGCGGAAGAACCUGGUUGGUCGUACGGCUCGAUGGGCUUUGAAACUUCAAAUAUAUAAUUUCGAUGUUCAUCGCCCAAGGAGUUCUAUGGCUGAUGCUGAUGCCCUUUCUCGAGCUCCUCUUCCUUCUCCACUCACUUCUCAUGUUUCUGACGAACCUGUUGUUCCAACAUCUGUGGAUUUUCUAGAUGAGGAUUCUGUGCCAUUGGCGGUUGCUGUCCUUGACGUUCAGUGUCCACAAGGCACAGAGCAAGAUCUACCUUCUCUUGAUGAGGUUCGCGAUGCUCAAAAGAUUGAGCUGUGGAUUCGAAGGCUUCGAGAUGGAUUUGAGAAUCCUGCAUCACUUGCUGAUGACUUGCCUUUCCGGCAUUUACAUUCUCAAUAUCGCCUUGAAAAUGGCCUUUUUUAUUUUGUGGGGACGGAUCCUGAUGAUUAUUUACGGCUUGUGGUGCCUUCGGUGUUUAUUCCGCGGUUUCUCCAUGCCUACCAUGAUUCUCCUGUUCUAGGUGGGCAUAUGGGACACCGUCGUGUUACUGAGAAGCUGCGCAGGUCUUUUUAUUGGCCGGAGAUGCGACGUGAUAUUAUCCGGUAUGUGCGUAGCUGCGUUUGGUGCCAAGCUCAUAAUACUCCCCCUCGUGCUGCGGAAGGACGGUUGAAGUCAAUUGCGGUUUCCCGUCCGUUUGAGUUAGUGGCGUUUGAUCUUAUGAGACCUUUUCCACGGUCGACUGCUGGCAAUGAGUAUGUUAUUAUUGCUUCUGACUACUUGACUUGUUGGGUGGAAGUUGGUGCUCUUGCUAGUGCCUCUGCAACUACUGUUGGAUACUUCCUCCUCAAUCAAGUGGUGUUCCAGCAUUCUUGUCCAGAGCGGAUUCUUUCGGAUAAUGGUCCCGCAUUUAUGGCUGAGGCAUUUCAUGUUUUGACGUCUCGGUUGGGGAUACGCCACACUUUCACGAGUGCUUAUCAUCCACAAUCAGACGGUCUGGUGGAACGGCUCGUUCGGACAUUCAAAGGGAUGAUUGCAAAGUAUGUGAACUUUCAGCAUUCGGAUUGGGAUGGUUAUUUGCUGUCUCUUCGGUAUGCAUAUGUUACAGGGGUGCAGAGUUCUGUUGGUGUUUCACCAUAUAAACUCCUAUAUAGUCAUGAUCCAAUAUUACCAACGGAGCUGGGUUUACCUUCACGAUUGCCACGAGCUGCCGAUGCUAAAUCAUGGGAUCAGUAUUUGACGAGCAUUCUUCCACUUGUCUGAGCAGAGUCUGCCGAACACUUAGGCCGCGUACAAGUGGGACAACAAUGGCGCUAUAACUCCCAUCAUCGUCCACCUGCGGAGUACAAAGUGGAUGAUUUGGUGUUAGUCCGUUUUCCCCAUCUUACAGUACGUGGUUUAUCUAAGGGGCUUCUUGCGCAAUGGAAAGGACCGUAUCGAGUGUUGUGGCAAGUUGGACCACAAGUUUAUGAGGCUCGGCGUGACGUUUAGCAGGCCGAUCCUCUAGAGAUUGUGCAUGUGCAGCGGCUGAAACGCUUCGUACAAAGGGAUCAGGAGGAGUUAUUACCACCUACAGAUCCACCGAUGCCUCCUCUUGACGUUCCUUCGGAUCCCGGCCCAUCUUCAAGAGAACCCUGAUGGUCUUCCAUUAUCCGAAGAGGAGGGGAUGAUGUGAGGGCCAAAUGUACGGUUACGAUGCCGUAUACUAAUAUUAGUGUAGUGGGAUUUUGGUAGCCGUCGGAUUGGUUUCAAUCUGGACCACUUGUUCCUGUAUAUAAGCUAGGGUUUUUGGGCUAAUUGAUAUGCACAUUUCUGUAUUCCCUUUCCAUAUUCCAGGCACUCACAACUAUAAAAUUAUUUUUUGGAAAAGUAUAAUGUGUUAACCAUCUAUCAAAAAAUUUAGAAUAAUUUUUUAUUUUAUCUAUGUUAAUUAAUAUAAUUAUUUUUAUUUCUUAACUAUUGGUUUAUAAGUAAACAAAAUCAGCUAUAAAGCUAACAUUAAAAAUAAAAAAAUUUAUUCUCAAAUUAAUAGCAUAAGAAGACAUGUUUUUGAAAAAAAUCAUGUCGAAGUUUUGGUGGCCAAUGGGUGGUUAGCAUAGUUAGUUAAAGAGGGAAAACAAUGGCAUGACAACUUUUAUAAAUUUAAAACUUUAUUAAGAUACUUAUAUAUGGCAAAAAUGUUUUUUGUACUCUAGUAUGUUCCUUUAAUUAAAGUGUUCAUACAUAACAAGAAUCCUUUUUAGUAUAAGCUAGUCUAAUUUAUAAUUGGGUUUAACUACUAUACUCACAAUUAUAGGAUUAGGAAGAAUAUAAAUAACAUAUUAACAUGUAUAUUAAUAUGGAGUGUAUCAGUAAGUUUAUGCUUUUUGCCAUAAACACUAAAUAACAAAUGGAUUACAAACACUAGGAGAAGAAUAAAUGCAAAGUAAUGAAAGUGUCUGUAAGUAAGGUAAAGGUUUAUUGAAGCACUAGAUUUAGAAUUGAGUUGCAAAAUUGAUAACAAUGCAUUUUAUGUGUUAUAUAGGUUGUAAUUGAUGAAGAGAGUAAACAAGUGUUACACUAUUUAAAAAUUCAAUACAAAGAAAUACAAAUAAUGGAUUUAAUGAAACAAGAAGGGUCACCAUAACUAUGGUGAAGCAAAGUGUAGUUUAUUUAAGCUAAUAUUAAGCUUAAACAAGCCUAUAUCAUUUGAGAAGCGAUUAAGCUUUCUUCUUUUCAUUAUUAUUUUCCAUUGUCUUUAACUAAGUUUUCAUUCAAGGAGUAAAUAUUUGGUAAUUAAGGUUUAGCAAUGGUUUUCUUGAAGUAUAUAAAUAAGCAAUAUCAAAGUUUUUAAAUUUGUAGAGUUUUAAUAAUGUAUUUUCCCCCUUUUUGUUUAUAUCAGAUUAAAAAGAAGAUCAAAGUUCUUGAUAUCAAAUGUUCUUUAAAAACAAAAAAUGAAAAAAAAAACCAAGGUAGGUUUAGCGUGUUCAAAGUGUUUAUUAUUUCCUCGUACUUUACAACCCUUUUGGAUCUGACAAGUAUUGAGCCUUGAAAGUUUAUUUACUUCUAAAUGUUGAUUUAAUCUUUAAUUGCAAAUUUUGGCAUUUUGUAAAUUCACUAAUUUAAGAAAAGUUAAUAGUUGUAUAAAGGGUAGUUUAACUUGUUGAGGGUCUAUUGAAUGCAUAGUGAUAGAUUUAUUGGACACAUUCUAACUACACAUGGCAUGGACAAGCUCAUCAUUCUAUUUUAGUAUGUUCAUCAACUCAGCCUGUUUAUUAUAAUAUGGACAAGUGCAUCAUUCCAUCUUAGUAUAUUCAUCAACUCAGCUUGUUUAUUUUUCAUUUAUGUUUUGCUAGGUUCAUGAUAUACUUUAAGAGUAUUCAAUAAAAGUAUCAAGAAAAAUAGAAUCUAACAUAUGCAUAUUCUUCCUUAAAGAAGUAGAGUAUAUGGAUUGCAAAACAUAUUAUAUUAUUGAGAUUAUUGUAAUAAUAUUUUAAUAUAAUAAAAUGUAUUGAGAAACAAAGAUAAAUUAUAGAGUGGAUAAGUUUUUGCCUUUUAUGAGUUGAAUCUAUUUUUAUUCAAAGAGUUUUAAAGAUUGCAUUGAUUAGCAUUUGCUAAGCAGUUUCUAGUCCAUAACAAUAAAGGGAAAUUGUUGAACUUUAUGAAUCUCGCCAAUUGAUGAUAUUAAAUAAAGGGUAAUAUCACUUUUUCACUAUGCAUUUUUUGAAUUGUUUUUGUAAUGUUGGGUCAUUAGGUUAGGGAAUAAGGUAGAUAUGAUAUUUAAUUUUUUCUCAUUCAAAUAAGUCUUGUAAGAGUAAAAUUUUCUUUACUAUAAUAAGAAAAUUGGACUGUAAAAGAGGAUUUAAGUAAGAAAGAAGCAUGCUAGGGUAAUAAGUCUAUUUCUCACGUCUUUAUUUAAAUCUUUGUAAGUUUUCUAAUUUUUUUUUUUUUGCAAAAAUUUUAGAUCUAUGAAUACUCUUCAAUCCCAAUAUAAAUCAUAGAUAAAAAUGCUAUGUUUUAAAGAUUUUAAAGGGGAAAGGGGAUUAUGGGAAUUAGCUUAUUUUUAACACAUAUCAAAGAAAGAUUAAGCCAACUUGAAGAAUAAACAAAAAUUUAAUCUCAAAGAAGAAAGUUAACACAUUUCAUCCUAUUGCUUUUUUUUCAAAUAAGGGAAAAUAUAAUAUUUUUUAAAGAAAAUUAUUCUUUUGGUAGAAAAAUACAUAAAUCCAAGAAAAAGAAGCUUAGGAAGCUAAAAAAAAAAGGUAUAAUAUAAAAUGGUCUAAAAAUUUNNNNNNNNNNNNNNNNNNNNNNNNNNNNNNNNNNNNNNNNNNNNNNNNNNNNNNNNNNNNNNNNNNNNNNNNNNNNNNNNNNNNNNNNNNNNNNNNNNNNUAUUCCUUCUUUGAUCCCUAUGAAGUUCCUUUUUGUUCACAACAAUAAUUAUUAAUUCUAUUAUUAAAACAGAUUCAAAGACAAUUUAGAUCUCUACAUAAUGCUUGAGUUAAUAGGAUUUAAUGGAUAGGUUUUUGGGCCCUCCUCACCACAUAACUAUACCCUUAGUUACUAAAUAAAAGGUCCAUUUAAAUUUUAUUGAAUUCUCUAACCAUGUAGAUAGAGCAAGGUUCUGAUAAAGUAUACAAAAUAUCCAAAUAGUGCUACACCCACUUAGAUUGAGAGCAUUAACUAUUCAAUCUCCUUGAGGAGUUAGAGUUGGCUAUUAAACACUUCACCAAAUCAUUCAAUUUAUCUAUUCAUAUUUAAUUUAAUUUUGGACUCUUUAAUGUUUAUAUCAUCACCCACUAUAUGAAAAUAACUUUUUUUUCAUAUUGGUUCUUUAUAAUCCUCCCUUUAUUAUCUCGUAGAGACUUAUCAAACCCCUUAAUGUUUGAGAAAAAAUUGCUUCAGGCUUUCACUCCACCCUCACCCCACCCUCGGAUAUGUUUGUCCCUAGAUAUAUUAAGCCUUGAACUCGGUAUUGGACAUGGUUUAAGAUUCGAUCCUGGACUUAAUUUUAGUUUCAAUUUUGGAGUUGUUUCAAACUUGGUCUUGAAUUUGGUUUUGCACUUUAUCUCAACACUUCUAUAUAUUAUAAUAAUUGCCACAUGUUAGUCAUUCUUUUGUUCUUUUUUAAAAACUCAUUUAUCUAUCGUUUUGUGCUCAUUCCUAACACUUCUUUAGAAGUUCACUUCUUUUUGACUUUUUGAGUCAAAGCUUUUAGUCCAAAUAUGUUAUACUCAUUGAACUUUUACCUCAACCACUACCUUUCGACUUUACUUUGGGAUUUAGGGAUUUGUAUUUUAUAAAUCUUUCAUGACUAAUCUAGUUUGAUAUCCAAGUAGUUUUUCCCUUAAGCCUCUAAUAUUACACCAUGAUUGCUGCCCUCUUCUUUAUACCCAUGUUAUACACGAGUUAUAUAUCAGACAAUAUUUAAGAGCUAAUAAAACCUAAGUAAGAUUUUAAAACUAAAAUUCUAUCACAAUAUUUAAUUUUGUGUUUUUAAUAGCUAUAUAAGAUAGAGAGAAACUAGUGCUAUAAAGUUGGGGUGUUUAAUAUAUAGGAGUGAGGCAUAAAAUUUAUGAAGGUUUAAACAAAGGCAUUUCUCACUCAAAUCUUUAAUUCAAAACCCCACCCCACCCCACCCCCACCCCCCCCCUUCCCCCUCUCUAAAUCAUAUCCAUAUGAUAAAUGGAAAAUUAUAGAGUAAAUGUUUUUGUAGAUUUUAUGACAUUUUAAGCUAUAAUACAUUUUAGUGUCAUUCAAGUGUUCAUCACUUUUUUCAAUUUAAAUCUAAUUUAGAGAAAAGGAACUCAUCCCAUUGUUCUAUUUCAUUAAUAUUCUUGAGUUUAGAAAAGAACUUAAUAAAACUAUACAAAUAAGUAGUUUGUUGAGUUCAACUAUUUAUUAAAUUGCAUUUCAUUAUAGGGUCAAAAAUAUCUCAAGACCUCUUGUUUUUAAAAGAAAAACAUUCUUUUCCAUAUUUGUCUUAGAUUCUAUCACAAGAUUUAUUCACUCAAUUACAAAGCUCAAUUACCACUAUAUAUAUAUUUUUAUUUAUUUAUUUAUUUAUAUAUAUAUAGUAAAUUGAAUGCCACUNNNNNNNNNNNNNNNNNNNNNNNNNNNNNNNNNNNNNNNNNNNNNNNNNNNNNNNNNNNNNNNNNNNNNNNNNNNNNNNNNNNNNNNNNNNNNNNNNNNNNNNNNNNNNNNNNNNNNNNNNNNNNNNNNNNNNNNNNNNNNNNNNNNNNNNNNNNNNNNNNNNNNNNNNNNNNNNNNNNNNNNNNNNNNNNNNNNNNNNNNNNNNNNNNNNNNNNNNNNNNNNNNNNNNNNNNNNNNNNNNNNNNNNNNNNNNNNNNNNNNNNNNNNNNNNNNNNNNNNNNNNNNNNNNNNNNNNNNNNNNGAAGCUUUGGAAAAAAAUGAGAAGAAAAAAAAUUAUAAAAAAACUCAGUUUGUUGCAUAUUAUAUGGAACAACACUUGAUUUUCUUAAUAAUAGUGUAAUUCUUGUUUAGUAUUAUUUAAUAAUAUAAUUGAUCAAUCAAAACUUUAUAAUUUAAAAAUAUAAGAUUAAUUUUAUUGCACACCAUUAUAUGGUAGAAUAAAAUAGAAUAUACUAGAAAGUGUUUAGAAAAAUUUAUAAUUUAUAAACAUGUUUAUAAAUUAUAAAUAUAAUAUUAAUUUAAAUGAAUAACAACUAUUAAAUAGUAGAAUCUCCCAGAAUAUCUAAAUAUAUUUUUGAUGUAUCUAUCAGCUCUCUCUCCUUGAUAGAAAAAUUUUGGAUGUUAAGGGCUUUCUAUUGAGUAAAGUUUCCUUGCAUUUUUUCUUGCUAAACACCCAGCACCCAUAGCUUAUUAUGAAGGUGGAGAAGGUUGGAGAUGGUUCCUCCAUGCUAGAUGUGGCAUUGGUAUGUCCUCUUCUUGGCAAGAAAGAAUAAAAAUUCUUACUCAAGCUAAAAGUUUAUUUUAUGUUUGUGGCUAUUAUACGAGUGUUGGCAUUGCUUUCAUUAGCUUCAAGGUUUAUAGUGAAUUCUCAUGUCAUGAGUUUACAAAUCUUUUUUCUGCCAUCUUUAUCAAGUGCAAUAUAUGUCAUCCAAGUGAAAAAGAGAGACUAAGGCAUUUCUUUUUUCUCAUAUCUAUCCCAGAGCAAGUUACUAAGGCACUCAAGGAGCACAAAACAAUGUUUGUGAGACUGGAUGUAUAUAUUAAUUAUGUAGGCAUUGCUGAGCAAAGGGACUUCCUUAGUAAUGCAAAAUGGUGCAAGGCCUUGAGUGUGAACCUAUCAAAUGCACAAUCCAAGUAAUACGUCUCAAUUCUCACAAUUUCCUCAUUCCACAUUCUUCAAGAGAGCACAUUCUAGCCAUAAGAAUCUGAUGCGGGAGAGGAAGAACAUUGUGCUAAACUUAAUGCUUUAUGACUUUAUGAGAGAAAUGACAAGCUGUUUGGAAGCAAUUGAGGAGGAUUGGGUGUUGGGAAUUGGGAGUAUUUGGAAUAUUUACACUUAUUUCUCUGCUAUGAUCUAGAUGAAGUGAUGGGGAAGUUCCAGAAGAAGAAUUGAGUUCUGAAUGAAUGUGUGGUGCUCAUAUCAAAUUUCAUUACUACUACAUCCAAAAAACGAAAGUAAAGUGAUGAAAAACUUUUUUCAACUUUGAAAGGGUAAGGUGUAAGCUUUAUAUAUAAAGAAUGCUGAAAGUUAUUGUGAGUAUGGGAUGGGUUUGGGUAUCUGGGAGCUAGGAUUGUAUGUAUCUAGGAAAGCCAAUAGCAAUGUUGUAACAUGUUUCUUUGAUAAAUUUAGUUACUUAUCUUUUUUAGUCUAACAAGAGACAAAGUUUUCAUAGACAUUAGUAUCCAGUUUAACUCUAGUUCAAAAAGCAAUUUGCUCUUUACUGUGUUAAUAAAUUAUGUUACUACUUUCUUUUGAAGUUUUAGACUCAUUAAAUAACAUAAACCUUUAUUUAUCAUUAUGUUUCACUAUUUUUUUAAAAAUGGUUUAAAUUUAAAUAGCUAUAAAUAUAACGAAACAAGCAUUUGCUCGGUAAAGAAAAAAUCCAAAUAAAUAGGAAUAAGAACCACCCUAGGGCCUGUUGAAUUUUGGUUUGAAAAUUUGGCUGAAGUGUCGGCGGUGUCCACGAUGCGAGAGAACGCGUUCAAGCCCUAGCCAGCGUUCCAGGCGGGGCCGAUCGCCAAUGCCAGAGGACGAUGCAUAUCGAUUCGAGGUUACGGGGCCAAAGCGCAAGCAUUUCAACUGGUAAAGAAUCUCGCCGCCCUAGCUGCAUUGCUCUGUUUGAAGCGAUUCUUGGCGGGCUGGGUGUGUGAUUUUGUCAGUAGAAUCCCGUUUCGAUUGAUUCCAAUCGCCCCCGACAGAAUUCUCAGCUACCCUAGGCUUGUCUUUGGAUCAUAUUUCAUUUGUCCCAUUUUGGUGUCUCUUUCGUUCACUUGCGUGCUAAGGGCUGAUUGAUAAGUAGCUAGAGUUAUUUCGAUGGCUAGUCUUUAGUGGAUUGGUCCUCACUUCUCCAUUCUUUUUUUUUUGUUGUUUCGCAAAGCUUGCUUGGGCUUGAGUUCAUUGUCUACUUUUUUGUUUCAUUGCUGCUAAAGACUUGGUCCGGUUAGAGUUCUCGUCCUUUAAAAGCUUUUUAUCUCGAUUCCUCGCGAGUUCUUACCAUACAUUCUUUCCAGGGAUGUUCCGGACGACAAAAGAGCAAUCUUGGCAUGCCUUGUGUCAAGCGUGUACUCACUCCAGCACGACAGAUCGAAAAACUACACAGGAACUCCGCAAGCUCUCGCUCCUCCCUGGUGGACGUCCUUCAACUACGAGCUCCUCGACGUGAUCCUCGGCAAUGACAAGCUCCGGAUCAACGGCGCAGUGUUCGUGUGGAACUACAAAAACCACUGGAAGCCUGCCAGAGCUCCGAUGGUGGUCCUGGCGCUCAGAGGCACGGACAGCCUAACCAGCGACCUCAUCGUCGACUUCAAGAUCGCCAACCAGGAGCUUUACAAGACAGGCAGGUUCACAGCCGCGUACAACGCUCUCCGAAACGCCGUCGCAUGGCAUGGCAAGGACAACGUUUGCAUCACGGGGCACUCGCUCGGAGCAGCGGUGGCGCUCUCCGCCGCUCGGAUGAUGGCAUCGCAUGGCCAGUUCGUCGAGGCUCAUCUCUUCAAUCCGCCAUUCUCGUCCUCGACCGCUCCAUACAAGUCACUCUUCGGUGCUGAGACUUACAGCAAUCUCCAAGAGGUUUACACCGUUGCAAAGGCCGGGCUCGUCAACUUACUGGUGGAUGCCGCAAAGAGAAGGGAGUCCGAGGCAGAGUUUGCGGCACUUGGAAGCUGGUACCCGGACAUGUAUGUUCAUCCCAGUGAUCCGGUAUGCUCGGGCUUUCUCGAGCACUUCAAGAACUAUCAGUAUAUGCUACAGGGGAAGUACGCGAGAUUGGCGAUGCCUCACGAAUCCAUCCGGGGCGUGCUCUGCUCCUCCAAAGCGAAGCCGCAUCACCUCAUCCCCUCGGCAAGGCUUCACGUCCCAGCGGAUGAAGGCAAAGCUGCGAGUGCUCGAGACGCUCAUUCUCUUACACAGUGGUGGUCGGAUGGAGCAGUCGUUCAGGUGCAAUUUGUCAACUUGACAGGUCAAGAACACUUGGAUCAUCCGCUGCAAAUCUUGUUUGGGGGGAUAAGCUAUGAACCUAUGGUGUAGUACGCGGCAAUGAUUUCAUGGUACAUAUUUUCUCUGUGCUCAAAGAACCCGAGAAAAAAGAUUUUUAUUUUUUCCUGUG